RNAcentral lists this ribosomal RNA (460 nucleotides) under uncultured bacterium. RNAcentral's name for it is "partial 16S ribosomal RNA". It matches the Rfam family "Bacterial small subunit ribosomal RNA", at positions 338 to 795 of the family's 1533-position model. The record is from RNAcentral.
CCUACGGGUGACAGCAGUGAGGAAUAUUGGUCAAUGGACGAGAGUCUGAACCAGCCAAGUAGCGUGAAGGAUGACUGCCCUAUGGGUUGUAAACUUCUUUUAUAUGGGAAUAAAAUGUUCCACGUGUGGGAUUUUGUAUGUACCAUAUGAAUAAGGAUCGGCUAACUCCGUGCCAGCAGCCGCGGUAAUACGGAGGAUCCGAGCGUUAUCCGGAUUUAUUGGGUUUAAAGGGAGCGUAGGUGAAUUGUUAAGUCAGUUGUGAAAGUUUGCGGCUCAACCGUAAAAUUGCAGUUGAAACUGGCAGUCUUGAGUACAGUAGAGGUGGGCGGAAUUCGUGGUGUAGCGGUGAAAUGCUUAGAUAUCACGAAGAACUCCGAUUGCGAAGGCAGUUCACUGGACUGCAACUGACACUGAGGCUCGAAAGUGUGGGUAUCAAACAGGAUUAGAUACCCUAGUAGUC